This 384-nucleotide unclassified non-coding RNA is filed under the name soil metagenome. Its description in RNAcentral is "partial contains 5.8S ribosomal RNA, internal transcribed spacer 2, and large subunit ribosomal RNA". The stretch from base 1 to 120 matches the Rfam family "5.8S ribosomal RNA", at positions 35 to 154 of the family's 154-position model. The record is from RNAcentral.
GAUGAAGAACGUAGCGAAAUGCGAUAAGUAAUGUGAAUUGCAGAAUUCAGUGAAUCAUCGAAUCUUUGAACGCACCUUGCACCCUUUGGCAUUCCGAAGGGUAUGCUCGUUUGAGUGUCAUUGCACUCUCACUCUCCCGAUGCUUUUGGAUCGGGAGUGGUGGACUUGGGUGUUGCUGCUUUGCUGUGGCUCGCCUCAAAUGGAGUAGUGCAACUCUUGGUUGGACAUAGUACGGCGUGAUAAGUGUCUUCGCCGGCGCCUCAUUAUAGAGGGUGGCCGAUCGGGAGCUCUGUGCUUCAAACCGUCUUCGGACAACAUCUGACAACUUGACCUCAAAUCGAGUAGGACUACCCGCUGAACUUAAGCAUAUCAAUAAGCGGAGGA